Molecule: ribosomal RNA, 450 nt
Filed under: uncultured bacterium
Lineage: Bacteria
Description: partial 16S ribosomal RNA
Rfam family: Bacterial small subunit ribosomal RNA
Source: RNAcentral
GUGGGGAAUCUUCCGCAAUGGACGAAAGUCUGACGGAGCAACGCCGCGUGAGUGAAGAAGGUUUUCGGAUCGUAAAGCUCUUUCGUUAGGGACGAACGUGCUCUUUGUGAAUAAUGAGGAGUAAUGACGGUACCUAAAUAAGAAGCCACGGCUAACUACGUGCCAGCAGCCGCGGUAAUACGUAGGUGGCAAGCGUUGUCCGGAAUUAUUUGGCGUAAAGCGCGCGCAGGCGGGAUAUCAAGUCUGUCUUAAAAGUGCGAGGCUAAACCUCGUGAGGGGACAGAAACUGGUAUUCUUGAGUGUCGGAGAGGAAAGUGGAAUUCCAAGUGUAGCGGUGAAAUGCGUAGAGAUUUGGAAGAACACCAGUGGCGAAGGCGACUUUCUGGACGAUGUCUGACGCUGAGGCGCGAAAGCUAGGGGAGCGAACGGGAUUAGAAACCCCUGUAGUCC